RNAcentral lists this ribosomal RNA (378 nucleotides) under uncultured bacterium. RNAcentral describes it as "bacterial SSU rRNA". It matches the Rfam family "Bacterial small subunit ribosomal RNA", at positions 28 to 431 of the family's 1533-position model. The record is from RNAcentral.
GGUGAACGUUGGCGGCGCGUCUAAUACAUGCAAGUCGAGCGAGGCUUCGAGCCGAGCGGCGGACGGCUGAGUAACACGUUGGUAGCUACCCCGUACUCAGGGAUAACACUGAGAAAUCAGUGCUAAUACCGGUAUGAUCCCGAAAGGGUAAAGAUUUAUCGGUACGGGAGGUGCCGUGCGGCCUAUCAGCUAGUUGGUGAGGUAAUGGCUCACCAAGGCUAUGACGGGUAACUGGGUCUGAGAGGACGACCAGUCAGAGGGAAACUGAGACACGGUUCCCACUCCUACGGGAGGCAGCAGUAAAGAAUCUUCCGCAAUGGACGCAAGUCUGACGGAGCGAACGCCGCGUGCAGGAUGAAGGCCUUCGGGUCGUAAACU